RNAcentral lists this ribosomal RNA (253 nucleotides) under uncultured bacterium. Its description in RNAcentral is "partial 16S ribosomal RNA". It matches the Rfam family "Bacterial small subunit ribosomal RNA", at positions 524 to 776 of the family's 1533-position model. The record is from RNAcentral.
UACGGGGGGAGCAAGCGUUGUUCGGAAUUACUGGGCGUAAAGGGCGCGUAGGCGGCCACCUAAGUCAGACGUGAAAUCCCCCGGCUUAACCUGGGAACUGCGUCUGAUACUGGAGGGCUUGAGUAUGGGAGAGGGAUGUAGAAUUCCAGGUGUAGCGGUGAAAUGCGUAGAUAUCUGGAGGAAUACCGGUGGCGAAGGCGGCAUCCUGGACCAUUACUGACGCUGAGGCGCGAAAGCUAGGGGAGCAAACGGG